GACGAACGCUGGCGGCGUGCUUAACACAUGCAAGUCGAACGGAAAGGCCCUGCUUUUGCGGGGUGCUCGAGUGGCGAACGGGUGAGUAACACGUGAGUAACCUGCCCUUGACUUUGGGAUAACUUCAGGAAACUGGGGCUAAUACCGGAUAGGAGCUCCUGCUGCAUGGUGGGGGUUGGAAAGUUUCGGCGGUUGGGGAUGGACUCGGGGCUUAUCAGCUUGUUGGUGGGGUAGUGGCUUACCAAGGCUUUGACGGGUAGCCGGCCUGAGAGGGUGACCGGCCACAUUGGGACUGAGAUACGGCCCAGACUCGUACGGGAGGCAGCGGUGGGGAAUAUUGCACAGUGGGCGGGAGCCUGAUGCAGCAGCGCCGCGUGCGGGAUGACGGCCUUCGGGUUGUAAACCGCUUUCGCCUGUGACGAAGCGUGAGUGACGGUAAUGGGUAAAGAAGCACCGGCUAACUACGUG
RNAcentral lists this ribosomal RNA (468 nucleotides) under uncultured bacterium. RNAcentral describes it as "partial 16S ribosomal RNA". It matches the Rfam family "Bacterial small subunit ribosomal RNA", at positions 28 to 507 of the family's 1533-position model. The record is from RNAcentral.